CGAUGAUCUCCAGCUUGCUGGGGGGAUUAGUGGCGAACGGGUGAGUAACACGUGAGUAACCUGCCCUUGACUCUGGGAUAAGCCUGGGAAACUGGGUCUAAUACUGGAUACGACUCUUCACCGCAUGGUGGGGGGUGGAAAGCUUUUGUGGUUUUGGAUGGACUCGCGGCCUAUCAGCUUGUUGGUGGGGUAAUGGCCUACCAAGGCGACGACGGGUAGCCGGCCUGAGAGGGUGGACGGCCACACUGGGACUGAGACACGGCCCAGACUCCUACGGGAGGCAGCAGUGGGGAAUAUUGCACAAUGGGCGCAAGCCUGAUGCAGCGACGCCGCGUGAGGGAUGAAGGCCUUCGGGUUGUAAACCUCUUUCAGUAGGGAAGAAGCGAAAGUGACGGUACCUGCAGAAGAAGCGCCGGCUAACUACGUGCCAGCAGCCGCGGUAAUACGUAGGGCGCAAGCGUUAUCCGGAAUUAUUGGGCGUAAAGAGCUCGUAGGCGGUUUGUCGCGUCUGCCGUGAAAGUCCGGGGCUUAACUCCGGAUCUGCGGUGGGUACGGGCAGACUUGAGUGAUGUAGGGGAGACUGGAAUUCCUGGUGUAGCGGUGAAAUGCGCAGAUAUCAGGAGGAACACCGAUGGCGAAGGCAGGUCUCUGGGCAUUAACUGACGCUGAGGAGCGAAAGCAUGGGGAGCGAACAGGAUUAGAUACCCUGGUAGUCCAUGCCGUAAACGUUGGGCACUAGGUGUGGGGGACAUUCCACGUUUUCCGCGCCGUAGCUAACGCAUUAAGUGCCCCGCCUGGGGAGUACGGCCGCAAGGCUAAAACUCAAAGGAAUUGACGGGGGCCCGCACAAGCGGCGGAGCAUGCGGAUUAAUUCGAUGCAACGCGAAGAACCUUACCAAGGCUUGACAUGAACCGGAACGGCGCAGAGAUGUGUCGGCCACUUGUGGCCGGUUUACAGGUGGUGCAU
RNAcentral lists this ribosomal RNA (967 nucleotides) under Arthrobacter sp. EGI80012. RNAcentral's name for it is "bacterial SSU rRNA". It matches the Rfam family "Bacterial small subunit ribosomal RNA", at positions 67 to 1046 of the family's 1533-position model. The record is from RNAcentral. Lineage: Bacteria; Bacillati; Actinomycetota; Actinomycetes; Micrococcales; Micrococcaceae.